Molecule: ribosomal RNA, 406 nt
Filed under: uncultured bacterium
Lineage: Bacteria
Description: partial 16S ribosomal RNA
Rfam family: Bacterial small subunit ribosomal RNA
Source: RNAcentral
AUCGAACGCUGGCGGCAGGCCUAACACAUGCAAGUCGAACGAGUGGCGGACGGGUGAGUAAUGUCUGGGAAACUGCCCGAUGGAGGGGGAUAACUACUGGAAACGGUAGCUAAUACCGCAUACCAUCGGAUGUGCCCAGAUGGGAUUAGCUAGUAGGUGGGGUAACGGCUCACCUAGGCGACGAUCCCUAGCUGGUCUGAGAGGAUGACCAGCCACACUGGAACUGAGACACGGUCCAGCGUCCUACGGGAGGCAGCAGUGGAGAAUGUUGGACAAUGGGCGCAAGCCUGAUGCAGCCAUGCCGCGUGUAUGAAGAAGGCCUUCGGGUUGUAGAGUACUUUCAGCGAGGGGGCGUUACUCGCAGAAGAAGCACCGGCUGACUCCGUGCCAGCCGCCGCGGUAAUAC